UACAGCUCCCAUCAGCCCCAGCCAGUGGCAGGGAUGAUGGGAGCAGCCCUCCAACCACAUCUGGAGGACACUAUAUGGGCUGUGUUCAAGGGCAAAGGGAACACUCCCAACAGGCAGCCAAAGUCCAUCACUCCCAUGUCGGGUCACUCCAAACUCUGCUGGCUCUGUCUCCAUCUCUCCUUCAAACUUCAGUUUUCUCCCUUUGCUUUUCUCACAGACACUUGCCUGGUGGUAGAGCAUCCAUUUCCCGUGCAGAAGGUCCUCUCUGAAACCCUGGAGGGCCACUGCUGAUCAGUGUUGAUAGCACUGAGCUAGAUGGACCAGUCGUUUGACGUGGUGUAAGGAAGCUUCCUGUGCUCCAGUGCUACUGCAAUCAAAAUGCCAACAUCAAACUGUGAGUAUCAGAAUGCCAGAUUUCCUAAUUUAAUCUAGGUUUACCCUUUCCUCAAAAAAACCCCAGUAAGUAAAAAAACAAAACAAAAGUAUGUUGUCAGCAACUGAACUGCAAUAUCUGAAUGACUCAUUUGCAAUAUUAAUCCCCUAUCUGGAAACUCCUUAAAACUGUUAUCUAUAGACACACUUAAGGUAAAGGUAAAGGGACCCCUGACCAUUAGGUCCAGUCGCGGACGACUCUGGGGUUGAGAUGCUCAUCUCGCUCUAUAGGCCAAGGGAGCCGGUGUUUGUCCGCAGACAGCUUCUGCGUCAUGUGGCCAGCAUGACUAAGCCGCUUCUGGCGAACCAGAGCAGCGCACGGAAACGCCAUUUACCUUCCCGCCGGAGCGGUACCUAUUUAUCUACUUGCACUUGACGUGCUUUCGAACUGCUAGGUGGGCAGGAGCUGGGACCAAGCAACGGGAGCUCACUCCGUCGCGGGGAUUCGAACCGCCGACCUUCUGAUCGGCAAGUCCUAGGCUCUGUGGUUUAGACCACAGCGACACCCGCGUCCCUAUAGACACACUUACUUGGGUGUAAAUCCUAUUAGCUGGGUUACUUUGGGCUCCCAGUCUCUUUCUCCUCCCUCCCCAUUCCCUGGUUCUGCUGACGCGGUGGUUUGGCUUCACCCCCGGAAGUGCACUCCAUUGUCUCUCAGUACAGAUGGAUGCCAACAACAUAUCUUCCUUGCAAAAUUAGACAUUCGGUAUUUUGCAUUGUAUCCAAUGUGAGUCAUAUUUAGGGAUGCAAGUAGGCAUCCUUUUCUGUUCUGCCCUAUAUUUGCUUCAUGCAGCACUGUUUCCAUUCCACCGCAAUUCGUCUUGUGCCAAAAACUACAUUAUUUGUCUCACUGUCUGCUGUUGCGAUAUUACAUCACUUUUGUAAUUAAUUAUGUUGUCAGUAAUUUAUGCCAUCUCAUUAGUAAUGCAGAUGGGUGAUGGAUGAACAUAAACUUGUAGUAUUUGCAGACUGAAAGUAACAGCAACAGUGAAUACCACUCGUAUUCACUGGGCUGAUUUCUGUUCUGGACAUCGGACAAAUAAGGGAACAUGGGCAAUUUCUGCUAAGGUUUCUGUUAUCACUGGAAUUCUCCAACAUCCCUAGUCAUGCCUGGAGUAGAUCCAUUGAAAAUAAUAGACAUGACUAUCUUCUGCCCAUUUAUUUCCAUGAAACUAAUUUGAGUAGAAAUUAGUUGGUAAGAACCCCCUGUUUCCAUUCCAUUCCUGAAGCAUCUGUAACCUGAAGCGUCUGUAACCUGAGGUACCACUGUACUUUAAAAAAUGUACAAUCUCCUACUUUAUGGGGAAAUGCUAAAUGAAGUGGUAAAGUCAGCACAAAUAAAGUGGGCUCAGGAUUUAGGUCAUAAUAUACAAUUUGAAGAUUGGGAAAAGAUUUGGAAGGUGAAUCUAAAAUUUACAGAUUGUAUCUUACUGAGAGAGACUUAUAUAAAAAUGAUGUAUAGAUGGUAUAUAACACCAGAGAAAGUAGUCAAAAUGUAUAAAAAGGGAUAAAAAACGUGUUGGAAAUGUAAAGAAAAAGAUGGUACAUUCUAUCAUAUGUGGUGGGAAUGCAAAAAGAUUAGAACUUAUUGGGAAAUGAUAUAUAAUGAAUUGAAAAAAAUGUUUUAAAAGAUUUUUGUUAAGAAACCAGAAGCAUUCCUCCUAGGAAUUUUAGACCAAGAUGUAAAAAAAGAACUUUGGAAAUUAUUUAUGUAUGCAACAACAGCGGCAAGAAUUAUAUUAGCUCAAACUUGGAAGACAGAAGAAAUACCAGCGAAAGAACAAUGGCAAGGGAAACUUAUGGAAUAUGCAGAACUGGCAAAACUAACGGAAAAAUUACAUGAAAAGGACAACAAAGAUUUCAAAAGAGAAUGGGAACCAUUUACAACAUAUAUGAAGAAGCAACAUAAAGAAGUGGACUCACUGGCAGGGUUUAAGUAAACAAUUACAACUGUAUACAACAAAAAAUAAGACUAUAGUGGUACCUUGGGUUACAGACGCUUCAGGUUAGACUCCGCUAACCCAGAAAUAGUACCUUGGGUUAAGAACUUUGCUUCAGGAUGAAAACAGAAAUCGCACGGCAGUGGUGUGGUGGCAGCAGGGAGGCCCCAUUAGCUAAAGUGGUUAAGAACAGACCUCCAGAACGAAUUAAGUUCUUAACCCGAGGUACCACUGUAUAUGUAUUGUGAAAAUUUUGGGGAAACAAUACGCAGGGUGAACAAUAUGGAAAUAAAACAAAACGGGAGUAUGAGGGAAGUCCAGGGGAGGAGGGUGGAAAUAUGAAAAAUUGUUAAAGAUAUAUUGUUGGAAGAAGUACCGUAUUUUUCGCUCCAUUGGACGCACCGGACCAUAGGACGCACCGGAUCAUAGGAGGGGGAGAACAGGGAAAAAGAUUUUUUUUCUUGUUCUCCCCCUCCAAAACAAGGUGCGUUCAAGGUACAUUCACCAGAGCUUGUGGGGCUGGCGGUGGGGGGAAGCGCUGCUUUCCCCACCGCCAGCCUCAAGAUCCCUGAAGCCUUUGGAGCGCAGCGCCCCGCUGCCCUGCACAGGUUUGCGCGCAGCCGUCCCCAAGCUAGAGCAGUGAAACGGAGCCCUCCGUCUCGCUGUUCUGGCUUGGGAACAGCCUUGCUAGCUUCUGCAGGACAGCUAGCUUCUGCAGGACAGUUUUUGGAGGGGGAAAUGUGCGUCCUAUAGAACAAAAAAUACGGUAUACAUGGAAAAAUCAUAUAUAUAUAUAUAUAUAUAUUACACAAAAUCUGGGGCGGGAAUCUUUGCCCCCAGCAAGUUUAGAGUCCACGUAAGUUAUUGGAAAUUGGAUGCUAUUAAGCACCGCCUUGUGUGUUUUUUCCUGCUUGCUUCCAUCACGUUGGAGGCAAUCAUGACUCCAGCCUGUCGGAAGAUUGCCUUGUCCAUUCCAAUGAUCUUUAACUGCCCGUUUUCACGGCAAAAAUCACAAACGCUUUUCUCAUUGUCCGGUUGCCUUGCCGGUCGCUUCCCAUUUCUUUGCUUUCCAAUCCCAGGACUCUGGGCCAGUCACAUCCCAUCAGGCCUUUUCUACAUCUUGCCCCUUUCUUUUUUCCUUUGGGUUGCCAGCAGUUCUCCUGAUGGCUUCAGCUUCUAGGAACAUUGCCGCCAUGAUAAACUAGGAGGUUAUCGUGUGUGUGUGCUGAUAUUCUUGGGCUUGUUGCUGAAUGAGAUUUCUGUUUGCCAAGUCUAAAUGGGGCGAGCAUCAGGGAAAAGGGGGCGCCGUCCCCCAACCUCCAUCUGCUCUCAGCUAACCCCCACCCACCUUCCUGCCUUCUUAUUUACAACCAGUCCAAAGGGUAGCCACCAGCUUCUUCCUCCUUUUUUCUCACUGAUGCCCUUGCAGAACAAGGAUGGGCACAAAAGUAGAUUUAGUUGGCUCUGUCUGUCAUUGGCUCCAGCUUCACCUACUGUUAGGCUUCCUGACUGCUUCCUCAUCAGUCGCAAUGAGUACCAGCCAUCACUAGGAGCCUUUUUUGUGGGUCAAUGUUCCUUCCCAAUAUCAGGCUGCAAAGAAUGUAGACAGGUAAGCAGCUGUCUGAGUAGAGGCAAUGUAAUGAUAAGUAGGAACCAAAGGGUGCUAUGAGUGGGUCCACAGAGGGACGCAGUUCUGGGGAACACCAGUGGAGAAUGGAAACCUACAAAUGAUGGUUUUUUAAAGGUGCUGAGAAUAGUUAGGAGACCUCUCAUAGAUAUUCCCACAACAAACUACAGUUCCCAGGAUUCUUUGGGGAAAGACAUGGCUGUUUGUGGUAUAAAAGUGCUUUAAAUGUAUGAUGGUGAUGUGACCAAAGUUUGCAAUUACAUACCACUGCAGUUUCUAUUUGCACAUCUGGAUUGAAAUUGAACCACUUUUCUACAAUGUAAAGUGAUAUUAUUGCUGUUAUUCGUAGUAGUAAAUUUGCACGCUCCUUUUCUAAACGAAUGGGUUGUUUCCAGAUAAUAAUAUUAAUAUUAAUAAUAAUAAUAAUAAUAAUAAAUUUAUUAUUUAUACCCCGUCCAUCUGACUGGGUCUCCCCAGCCACUCUGGGCGGCUUCCAACCAAAUAUCAAAAACAAUACUGCAGCAGACAUUAAAAACUUCCCUAAACAGGACUGCCUUCAGGUGUCUUUUAAAAGUAAAAUAGUUGUUCAUUGCCUUGACAUCUGCUGGGAGGGCGUUCCACAAGGCAGGCACCACUACCGAGAAGGCCCUCUGCUUGGUUCCCUGUAACCUCACUUCUCGCAGCGAGGGAACCGCCAGAAGGCCCUCGAUGCUGGAUCUCAGUGUCUGGGCUGGAUGAUGGGGGUGGAGAUUCUCCUUCAGGUAUACAGGACUGAGGCCUUUUAGGGCUUUAAAGGUCAGCACCAACACUUUGAAUUGUGCUCGGAACGUACAGGGAGCCAAUGAAGAUCUUUCAGGACUGGUGUUAUAUAGUCUCGGCGGCCACUCCCAGUUACCAGUCUAGCUGCCACAUUCUGGAUUAAUUGCAGUUUCCGAGUCACCUUCAAAGGUAGCCCCACGUAUACUGCAUUGCAGUAGUCUAAGCGGAAGAUAACUAGAGCAUGCACCACUCUGGCAAGACAGUCUGCAGGCAGGUAGGGACCUGUUUCUGUGAGCACUCAGCCUGAAUUUUUUUACUGGGUGUUUACACAUCUUCCCAUUCAACAUUCAAUCACCCUUCACUUUUCAGUUCUUUUCAUCAUCACUUUCCUAACUGCAAAAAGCUUGUUUAAUUUGUUGUUGUUGCAUCCAGGUGACAGCCUUUUGAUCCUCUGUAAUUACACAAAUCGAACUUUCCAUUAGAUAACUAUAUGCUUGAGCCCCUCCCUCAAAAGUGGCAGUCUGGAGGCAACCCCUAACCUGAGGCUUCCAAUGCCUUGACCUUCCCGUGUGGAUUAGAAAGUGAGGAAUGGUAUGGGCCUGUCAGCUUCUGUUAGGUCUUUGGGAAGAAUUAGUUGCUUUUUCAGGUGACUGUAUAUGUGCCCAGUGAAACACCCCAUUUACCAUACCCUUCAUUCUAUUUGGUAAGCUUGGAAUUUGACCCUUUCCACUGUAGGUUUCCCGGUCUCUUUGCAGGCCUUACAAAUGCAAUCUAGUUUGUCUUUCUCCCCGCUCCCCCCCCCACCUUCCCACCAAGCCCCACUGUGCAUACAGCUGCUAAAUAAAAAAAGCAUGUAAUAGAGAUAGUUGGAUUGUCAGGUUUCAUAAAGUAGCCUAGGAAUCUACAAGCCAGCCUUUCUUCGCCAGCCUCGCUCCUUCUCCCGUAACUGAGCUAACAAGAUAUCUCAAGGAUAUUCCGGUUAAGUGGUUGCAACAUGAGCAAUCGGCAAGAAGGAUGUUGGGUCGGGCGGGGGGGGGGUGUACUGUGCUGUGCUUUUCUGAAGGGAGAAGGGAAAAGGAAGAGAAAGAGUUUUGUGCCAUGUGGCAUCAGGUGAGGCUUUGCAGCCUCAGUGGAAUAGGCGGAUGAAGCACCAAGGUGGAAAUCAAAGGGUCCUUGGCAUCACUCAAAUCUGGAACACUUGUUCAAUAUUUUCUUUACAUUAAGUGCCUAUUGGGGGGAGGGGUUGGCUAGGUCCCCUUAGGGAUAUUUCAGUUAUUUUUUUUUUGGCAUUAUGUUACUAGCAGUUUUAUUUUCUUUUUUUUUUAAUGAUAUUUAUUGAAAAAAGAAUUUUUUAAAAAAAUUACAAAGAAAAAAGACAAAACAGAAAAAAAAAAAAAACCAUCAUUUUCAAAUUCUCCACUUUCAUUACCUUCUUUCUAUGACCUCCUCCUCCUCCCUUUUCUUGUAUCUUGAUUAAUAGUUGUCACAGCAAAUCCUUUCCAUAAUUCAUAGUGUUCUGUCAUUACAUUACCUUACUCUAUUUUCAUCUUAUCUUAUAAAAAACCUUAAAGCUUAAGACUUGAAUCUUAUUUUUACCAACUUCUCCUAACCAUUACCUUUUUACCUAAUUCUUUAAACAUUUUUACAAGAGCCAAGUAAUUUCAUUUCAACAUUUUCCUAACAUUCAUCAAUUUUAUAAAACAUUCCUAAUGAUAGAAAAAAGAAAUAAGAACAAUCCAAUCUUCUUCCAGCGUCCCUUCCUCCUGGUCCCGGGUUUGUCAGUCCUUUUUAUCCCAUUAGUCUGGCACAUUAACCUGGUGAUCUUAUAUCCGAGGCCUUCAAGUCUCUUCCAUGUCCCUUCCGCAGCUCUUCUUCAUAUUUUCCUUUCACUCGUGGGAACUCCAGCUUGGUAGUGUUUUUGACCCUUUUCAACAAAUCAGCCCCUUUCCCAUAGUCCAGACUAGACUCCAUGUGGUAUUUUAAGACAUGUUUCAAAUUCCCUCCAAAAUUAGGAGCCCCCACAGCUCCAAACAUCUGACGGCCCAUUGCCAGACUCGGAAAGUCCAAACAUCUCUGCAUAGGGGGGUCAGUCCAACCCCCCCAUUUCCAAAUCAAUCCAAACUUUAUCUUUCCAAAUCUGGUUUUUCCAAGUUCAUUUGUCAAAUCCAAAGGCUCAUUUUCCUGCAGGGCCAAAAGUUCCUCCCUUUCUGGCGCCCAAGAUUCAGCAACAUCCUCUUCUCUCAACUGUUCUGUCAUGGCACACUCCUGUUUAAGUUCCUGGGUGGGCUCCAUAUAGUUUCCCACUACCUGUUCAAAUGUUCUGGCCGCAUUAGUCAUCAAAUCCGUCUUCUGGCUUAACUGAUCCAAUAGGGCAUUUAUUUUCCAGAAAGCACCCAACAGUGCUUCUGAAAACAUUGUCCUGCAAGGUCACAAGUCCUUUCCCACGGUUGUAAUCUGUGGCAGCUGCAAGCUCCCUAGAAUUAGUUACAGUUUCACAGUCCCCCUCUAGGGGGAAAACUUCUGGUUGUUCUUUCUUUUAAAGACAAUAGUAACAAAGUUUCUUUUUUUAAGAUAUUUUGUCAAUAUUUGUUCCUUUAAAAUGCGAAAGGAAACACUGGAAUCACAAUGUUACUCUUCUUUUAACUGUCUGUCAAAAACAUUUGUCUCUGGUCAAUGAGCUUCAAACGUCAAUUCUGACACCCCGCUCCAGGAUCAGGACGGUGGAAAGUUACUUUACUUUAAACUCACUUCUGCAGGUUUAAACAGUCCAAAAAAGAGAUCCCCCUUCUUCUCCUGCUACCGAAGGGGGGUUCAACGAUUUUAAAUGGUGAAAACCAAUCCUUUGAAAGUGAUUUUCUAAGCUCUGGUUUACGUUGUCUUUGCUUUCUUCUGACUACAAGGAAACGGAAGGCUGACUUCCUGUUUAGACCUUCCCGUUUCAGUACCAAAUUAAGGUAAAUUUUUAAGUCCAAUUCCUUUCUAAUCACCAGUUCUUAUUUGAAGUCCAAUUGUUCAAUGUUUAAGUACUCACGGGUGAUUAUUUUAGAUGCCAAAUUGUCCCAGGAAAAAGGCAGUGCUCUCCGGCAACGGCUAUGCGGCUUCCCUCCACGGAAAAAGCAAUUGACUCACAGCACCGCGCCACUUCCCCCUCUUCGCUUCGGAGCCCGUUAGUGGGUUCCUUUGCGGGUUGGGGGGGGCACUAAGGGUGCCCGCCGAGUCCCACGGUCACAGGCUUCAUCCGCCUGUGAUUUCUAAAAGGGUCCCCGCUUCGCCGCAGCGGAAAAGACCCGUUUCGCGUGGAGCUGGUCCCUCCAGUUCAGAGGGAGUCCGCCAUUGCCGAUGGCGCCACCCCGGAAGUCCCCCUUAGGGAUAUUUCAACCCCAUUCCUGGAUUGUCAGCUUUCAUUUAAGGUUCCUUCGGGGACGUGGGUGGUGCUCUUGCCUAAACUACUGAGCCUAUUGGGCUUGCCGAUCGGAAGGUUGGCGGUUCGAAUCCGCGAUAUGGGGUGAGCUCCCAUUGCUCUGUCCCAGCUUCUGCCAACCUAGCAGUUUGAAAGCAUGGAAGAUAAAAGGCAUUUCCGUGCACUCUGGCACUCAUCACGGUUCCCAUUGCACCAGAAGUCAUGCUGGUCACAUGACCCAGAAAACUGUCUGUGGACCAACACUAACUCCCUCUGCCUGAAGCGAAAUGAGUGCCGUACCCCAUAGUUACCUUUGACUGGACUUAACUGUCCAGGGGUCUUUACCUUGCCUUUUACCUUCACAUAUCUAGUUUGUUGAACACUCAUCCUGAUUUGCUUACACAAAGCUUUAAAUAGUGGUUAGAUUGGGAACAGGAACAUUCCACACUGCAACAUUUUGUUGCCGCCAUGUGUGUCCCCCUAUAUAAGAUAGGCCUGCUAAGACAGAGCACAGCAGCUGCUCGUCUUAAUGCUACCUAGUAACUUUUUAUUGCUGCUGCUGUUUUUAAAAAGCUAUUAAACACCUUGAGCAUUUUGUAAAAAAAGGAGAGACGGGGCAUAACAUAUUUUGAAUAAAGAAUCCAACAACAAUAAUUUCAUGGUAGAGGAAAAAUUGUGGGAACUACUGGGUCCAAGGUAUGUAAUAUUGUAGCCAUGUUGCUAAAUAACACUCUGGUAGCCCUCCUGUUUUUCCUUCCUUAAAGCACAAUGGAUAAAUUUACCUCAGACUUUUCGCCUCUGAAAGAAUAAAGUCAUGGGCACCCAUUAUUGGCUUUCUUUUACCUCAGUUGAUGCAUCAAUUGAGAUGAAUAUCCCUUUUUGCUCCAUUGGAGGGGGAUAGAACCAAAAAAAAAAAAAAAGGAAAAAAAUGAUGGGAAACAUCGAUAUUCUCCAUCUCCUAAAACCCAGCAACUUGCCUUUUGACACUCCAUCUUCACAAAGCCUCUGCUCUCUGAAGAUUAAUUGAUGUUGUGGUCCACUCAGCCUGUUUCCAAAUCCCUUUUGAGCCACCUUUUAAAAACCACCUGCCUUUAAGAAUAAAUAAAUAAAUAAAUAAAAGUCACCAAGUCUCUCCCCCCCCCCACUUUUAAAAAAGGAACCUGGAUUCUCAAAUGAUUGUCCGCCUUGACAAAUUGGAUUCUGAAAGCUGAUUCUUGAAAGAAAAGGCCGCAGGUUUGACAAGACAAGAAACAGCUCAUCCUCUGAGGCGGGAGGGUAAAUAAAUAAAUAAUGGAAAGAAAAGAAAUCCCAUUCUUCCACUCUCGUGCGACUCAAUGGGCAACCCCCCACCCUUGUUGCUGAUAAGAUUAUCUCCUCUAUGAUAGGCGGCAGAGCCGUACAAUGGAGACCUAAAGCAAGCUGUACUUUUGAUAGCCCCCUGAUUAAUAGAACUGUCCAAUGAGGACCUUGGCAUCUGGGAAGAAUGAUUAAUGACAUUUUAUGUGACCUUAGACCCUUCCCUCUUCCCCAGGAAACAUGGGGAAGAGAAGGGCGAUAGUAGCUGGUGAAUUCUCUCAGGCUGACAACUUGAGAUUUGCGCCCGACACCCUUUUGUGUAUCGGAAAUGGCACUCUGGCAGGCGGCAGUCCCUUUCUCACAAAAAUCAAUAGCUACUUUGCAAGUCCCUUUACCGAGACAUGGACUUGACUGCACCUGUUCCAAAAAGGUGGACUCCACCGCCACUGCCCUGUUUUUGACAUGCAUCUACUCCAGGCUCCCAAAUUCACUUGCCAUUAUCUGGAAUGGGACUGCCCUGCAAGUGACCAUGAUGUUAAGGAAAAGUCAGAGCCAGUCUGAAAAUGCCCUAAACUGCAUUUAGUCCAAACAAAACCUAUUACUGUGUGGAGUCAAGCUCUGAAAACCACAGUUGUGCAGUUUUGUAGUAAAAGUUAGUUGUGGAAAGUGCAGGGUGGUUUGGUAUCCAUGCUGCCACGUAAUUCCCUAAGUGGUUGAGCUCUUCGAUUUGAUUUAAUAUUUCUAUGCAGUUUUUCCAGUAACAAGGUUCAUUUUUUUAAAUUUAAAAGUUAUAUACAACUUUAAUAUUUGAAAACAUCCUAGCCUAGAUGAUCUAUCUUGCACCAGCUGAUGAACAUCAGACAGAUAUAAAUAAUACUUACCGUAAGGCCCUCUACCAUUUUCCCUAUCUUUUCCAUGUUUCCCCAUCAGUUUGCACUGUUUUUUUAAGUCCUCAUGAAAAUUCAGCAUAUGAAUGUGAAUUUCCCCCAAUAUCCCCAAUAUUGUAAAGCAAUAUUUCCUAAUAUAAUGCAUUUUUGCUUGUGUUUUUCAGUAAUUCACUUUAUUUGUUUAACUUAUUACAUGUCUAUCCUGCCCCUGCUCCCAAAGGAGCUCAGAGCAGCAAACAAGUGAUAAGACAAUAACAUAUUUCUUAAAGUCUUUAAAGAAAUUCCAGUACAGAUGUAAACUGAGAAAGAUCUCUUCUUAGAAGACUUGUUGAAACAGGAAGUUCUUCCUGUUGCAAGGACAAGCAAGAUGGCCUUUGUCUAAUAUUCAAGGGGAGUGUAUUCUGAAGGGCAGGUGCCAGAACACUGAAGGAUCAAUUCCUAUAUUGUAUGGGAUGAACCUCCUGAUAAGCUAGUACAGUGGUACCUCGGGUUACAGACACUUCAGGUUACAGACGCUUCAGGUUACAGACUCUGCUAACCCAGAAAUAGUACCUUGGGUUAAGAACUUUGCUUCAGGAUGAGAACAGAAAUCGUGCGUGGUGGCAUCGGGAGGCCCCAGUAGCGAAAGUGGUACCUCAGGUUAAGAACAGAAUGGACCUCCAGAAUGAAUUAAGUUCUUAACCCAAGGUACCACUGUACCUGCAGAAGGCCCUGUCUUCUGCAAAGCACAGUGAUUGAUUGGUUAUAUAAGGGGUGAGAUUAUACUUCUGGUAUUCUGGCUCCAACCUACAUAGGGCUUUAGAUGGGUGUAACCAGGAUUUGGGAGGAGGGGAGGUAGGAUUCAUGUUGCGGGGGCAGGGCAGAGCCUUAGUUAAGUUUUUUUUAUUGAUUUACUUGAUUUCGGUGUGGGGGGAGAUGCCCCCCACUCCCCCCCCCCCCCGAGUACACCUAUGGGACUUUACCUUAAUUUUGCCUUUUUGUAUAUAUUACUUGGCUGGAGAACUGCAUGGCAAAAUUCAGAGAAGGACAAGUUCCUAUGUUGCUUCAGAAAGUGCAAAGUGGGUAUGUUGAACUUUAAACGUGAACUGAACCAAAUCCCCUCCACCCAAUCCCUACUGUGGGAUGAGGCUGGUCAGCUGAUUUCAUUUAGCCUUAGGAUGUGGCACACUUGUUUGCAGGAUGUUUUCUUUCUUUCUUUCUUUCUUUCUUUCUUUCUUUCUUUCUUUCUUUCUUUCUUUCUUUCUUAUAAAUACAUGCCACACAACCUAGCGGCUAGCCCAACCAGGAAGGAGAAGGGCUGCAGUCAAAUGUUCUCAGUCAAUAUAAAAUAAAAAUUGUCAGGCAGUGCAAAUACUGAUGGUCUAAGUUGAAAUGGGUAGGUUUCUGAAUUGCUGAAUCCCCACGUCUCUCUUAUAUUCACACACUCACACACACACACACACACACACACACACACACACAGAGAGAGAGAGAGAGAGAGAGUUUUUAACCAUAGUUUGAUCCAGCUUAGCUGUGUAAAGCAGGAAUUUAAAAUCUUGCUCAGUAAAGGGAGUUUUUCCAUGGUGCUUGCAGCUGCAGAACUAUUAGCCCAUUUAAUACCAAAAAUACCGUCCUCUGAUACUGGUUUUUGCAGCCCCUCCACCCCACCCCCAAUUCUACAAAGGGCCACUGGGGGGGGGGGAACGCUGACACAGGUCCUCUAAUGCAGAAGGUGCUUGUGAACUCCCUGCUGUGACUUUCCCCUCUCCCUUUUAUCUUUUUGAAUUGCAAAUAGAGCUUCAGGUCUGGGGAUGAGUCAUUUGCUGGCUUGUUAGGCAAUGCAUAGAAGGCAAGGCGGAAGGAGCUACAAGCAGUUUCACUGCUCUUGCUGAUCUCCAGGAGUUUACCUGGCUUUUUACUGUAGCUGGCUUUGUGCAAAACCUUCAUCUCUGCAGAGAUGGAGCAGUCUCCUAUGCUCCUGUGUGUGACAAGUGACUUGCACUCCUACCUAUGGACAAUGAGAUGGCAGCCUUGAGAGAUGCUCCUCAGUGCUGUAAAGGUAAAUUCUGAAGUGUAGGAAGAGCUCUGCACCAAUAGCUGUGUCCCCAAGGAGUGCUUAAAAAUGUGGGCAUCUUACACACAUUUAACAUGCAAUUUCAACCUUAUUCGGUUGAAGGCUAGCUUGUUGAAAUCCCACGAGUUAAAUGUGGAGGCAGUGAGAGGGGAAAGCCUUGCUUGAGCCUUAUUCCUGAUGAACAUCUUCACUCCCCCCUUGUUCCAGGGGACGGCAGCAGCAUUUUGUGGUUCGUCUCAGGUGCCAAAAUGCUCUAUUUAAUGCAUUUUACAAUGUUGUGACACGCCCUGAGACAUCAUAGAAUCAAAGUUGGAAGGGACCACAAGCAUCAUCUAGUUAUCUAGUCCUCCUGUAAUGCAGGAAUCCUUUGCCCAAUUUAUGCCUUGAACCCACAACCCUGAGAUUAAGAGUGUCAUGUUCUACCAACUGAGCUAUCCUGGUGGUAAUGAUUUUUUUAAACACACACACAUUGUGUGGGUAGGAGAGCAUUUUAGUGAAUUCGCUGAGCAUGUUUACUAGACACCCUGAGAAUCUGAGGAUGAACAGAGCCUAAGGUCCCUGUAGUUGCAGAUUCCCCCCCGCCUAAUUUUUGUCCUUACGGAUUUAUGUGGUAUCACGAGUCACUUGCUUGAGAACACGACAUCCCUCUCACAGAUUACUGCUGUCAGCAGAUGAACACGGUCACUCAGAAAAAUCUAUUUCUAGCCCUCUAAUGCCAUCCCCAGAUGCUACUUGUGGUCACUGGUACUGUGUGAAAACAAAACAAAACGUCGAGAUUUUUGCUGUAAAGGGUUUGCUUUGAAUUUGCUUCAACAAAGUGCUCAGAGAUCUAUUAAUUAGGAGAGUUGCAGAUUAAAAAUAAAAUAAAACCCUAGCGUGAUACAAGCAGAUGCUUAGUGUUCCCAGUUGCGGGGACAAGGGGGGCUUGCGGGAGGUCAGCGAAUACAAUCUGAGGAGCUGGCAGUACCUAGUUCGCUAUCAUAGUGAAAAAUCUGGCAAUCCUAGUCCCUGUGAUAUUGACAAGGAGAGAUGCUUAUUUCUCUGAAGGUCGCCUGGCAGCUUCCAAACAGCUGUUCAGCAUUGCACGACCUCAGGAAUGUUCUGAAAUAAGAGGUUUCACUCCUGAUUUGCACAUAACCGGAGGCUUCUUCAACUUGAUGUCUGGUAAUGAAGCCUUUGUUGGAUCUGCUGUGCUAUAUGGAAGUACAUCGAGUUGACCAUAUGGCUGGGGAAUAUUGGAAGCUACAAUCGUGACGUGGUGCUAAUUAACUGGUAUCUUUAUCUGCCCUGUCUGCGUUAUUUUUAACCGUGAAAGGCCUUUAAUUAUUUAAUUUUAUUUUUAAAAAACUAAGCCCUUAUUAAAUUGCCAGUGCAAACAGAAAAGCAGCAACAAAUCUAACCCCAAUGACAACACAGCCGAAGAUCACAUACACGCCCAUCUGCUCUUUUCUAAGUCGUAUGUAGAGCAAGCAAGCAAGCCCAGCAGCCAAGAUUGCUUGGCAUGGCUUAUUCUUCUGAUUUGCAGUAUUGGUUUUUCAGUGGUAAUCUGGAUUGUUUCACAGGAAAAGGAACAAUCACAUCUUGAAGGCCUAUAAGAUGCAGAUACAUGAAGUUUCAAAGUAGUGUUUUAGUCUCAGAGUAGCAUUUGGGGGCACAUCUACACCAUACAUUUAAAGUACACAACAGCUGCAGACGUUAACCUUAGUCAAAUGAAUCCUUACUUGGAGCACACCUUUAGGUUGAAAUGUAUUCAGACGGAGACUUGGUAUAAAAUAGCAAACUUCCAAGAAAUAGCAUGCUUGUUUGUUGUGCCACCCCUAUCACCUGCUCCUGGCUGUUAUUUGUGACCUCCAGGUUGUGGUGGUCCAGACUGAUGUCCUGAAACUAGUCUUAAUGGUACUGCUGUGUAUGUUUGUGAGUGCUGUGAGAGGCAGUGUAGUGUAAUGGUUAUAGCCUCAGACUAUGUAUUUGGAGACCUAGGUUGGAAUCCUUUAUGGCCGUGAAGUUCACUGGGUGGCCUUGAGCCUGUCACUAUCUCUUGGCCUACUCUGCUUCACAGGAUAGCUGUUAGGAUAGAUAAAACACACACACACACACACACACACACACACACACACAGACACACAGAGAGAGAGAGAGAGAGAGAGAGAGAGAGAGAGAGAGAACGAAUGAACCAUAUGCAUCAUCCUGAACUCCUAGGAGGAAAGGUGGGAUUAAAAUGCAAUGCCUAUAAUCACAGCCCUCCAAACUUCAUGCAGAAUACUCCUGAUAUUGAGAGCUGCAUUCUGAGAUUGCAAUUCAUGAGCAAAUUUAGCAGAUGCAACUUGAGCUGUGAUACCAGGGCUCUGCCAAAUAGCCCUGAAAUGUGGACGUUUUGUGUGUGUGUUUUUGUAUCAGAGACCAUAUAAUUCACUCUUGACAACCUGAUAGGAGGGCCAUUGGCUUCUGCUGAGCUGCAAGGUAGUUCGACAUGAUGUUACUUGGUGUAAUGGUAUAGGCGCUCCGGGCUAUGGAAAGGCUUACACCUCCCCGCCCCCCCAAAAAAAGGAUUCUACUUUGACUCUUAUCUGCUGUUGUUUUCUAGUCAAGACAGCUGGCUUCCAGAAUUGCCUGACAGAGGAGAGGAUGGUUAAUCAGGGCAGAAUGUUUUGGUACAGUCACGUCUUCUCCUCUUUCUUCUUCCUCUUUCCCUCCACCUGCCCCCUACUAAGGUAUUGUCAUAAAUGUAGGGGUUGCUCGUGCGCAAGUUGGUGCCACUCCUGGCUAGGUUGCCUUGUUAAACCUUUUCUGUCUGGACAGCCCUACACUUCGUGGCUGUUCAGUCGCUAGCAGAAUCUGUCAGUGGGCGUUUCUUAAACAUUUUCCAGCAUAAAAGUUGUUUGACUCCAAGUCUCCUCCUACUCUCCCUGCGCGGAAGUUUUCUGCGCAGGGAGGGCGUGGGUAGCGGAGGACCCGUGCUCUCCUCGCUGAUCUCCAGCGAGGAGUCCUGGAGCCCCCUCGCCGAUUCCCCCAUCUGCCCCCCUUUAUCCCUGGUGUUACACUGAUUUCCUUCCCCAGCUGGUGAGCCGCCUCUCCCCCUGCUGAGCCCUUCUCCAGCAUCGCUUGAGAGCCUAGCCUCCGCCUCUGGCUCCGAUGUCAGUUCCCUGACAGGUAUCCUGGAGAGCUCCAUUUAGUUUGGUCUGAAGUUUAGGCUCCAAAUGAUGAGAAGGCAUCCCAGCAAACACGGUUCCCACUGCGAAAUCCAGCUUGGUCUCUAGUACUGAAAACACAUUGUGCUUGGCGGUGGACAUUUCGGCACAGACAUUUGUGCACUCCUGCACAGCAGCAACACAGCUUUGUUGCAUGUGAUGCUCCUUUGCCGUCACAGCACUGCGCUGUGUCUUUCUACGAGGGGCCAGCCACCCAGCUCCUUACCAAUGCUGGUGUAUAGAAGUAGCACUGGCUUCUUUUUGCCUGCAUUUCCAAGAUUAAAAUUAGCACACAGAGCACUAUCCCUGCUUUCUUCUAAGGCUUGCUGCUUUCUUUGUUUCCCUUAUACUUUAUUUCUUUGGUCACCAAAUAACAUUAGUUAAGAAGUUUGCAAAUAAUGAUGAUAACAACAAGGAGCACCCAUCAGUUCCAAAUGCAACCGUGGCUCCCACAAAGACAUCUUCGCUAUAUUAAUGGGACACGGGUGGCGCUGUGGGUUAAACCACAGAGCCGAGGACUUGCCGAUCAGAAGGUCGGCAGUUUGAAUCCCCGUGACGGGGUGAGCUCCCGUUGCUCGAUCCCUGCUCCUGCCAACCUAGCAGUUCGAAAGCACAUCAAAGUGCAAGUAGAUAAAUAGGUACUGCUCCGGCGGGAAGGUAAACGGUGUUUCCGUGUGCUGCUCUGGUUCGCCAGAAGCGGCUUAGUCAUGCUGGCCACAUGACCCGGAAGCUGUACGCCGGCUCCCUCGGCCAAUAAAGCGAAAUGAGCGCUGCAACCCCAGAGUCGGUCAUGACUGGACGUAAUGGUCAGGGGUCCCUUUACCUUUACCUUUAUUCCUCCUGGACUGAUGAACGUCAAUAUUAAAUCUGAAGGGGAAGCACACAUACUGGUUUGGUCACCCCCCUUCAGAUUUCCCCCACCCUUCAAAGUCUGUUUGAUGAUUGGCGGUGGGGAAAUUAUGAUCAGUUAUAGAAGGAAAGUGGAGUUUUGUGUGAGAGUGUGCAUGCAAGAAGGUGUGUGUGUGGGGGGGGGAGACUAAGUUUUAGGGUGGGGGCAUAAAGGCAAAUACCAGUUUGAGAAUCUAAAGGAAAACUAGGCCAAGAGGAAAAUGGUUUCCAAAAAAGGACAACACAAGUGGCUUUGAUAUGGAUAUGUUCACUGCCUUGAAGAGACACAGCUCUAGAGAAACUCUUUAUCAGUGUCAAAUUAUGACAAAUGACAUUGGGGGGAAAGUCACAGGGGCCGCUGAACACUGUCGCAGCAGGAACACCUUAGAAAUUACACAGGUAUUUUUUUCCACCGCUCUGUGCCUUGGGGGGGAUAGUUCCCUCCCCUCAUUCUUCCUCUUUUACUACUUCUCCUUCCCCAUUUCAGUAUUAAUUAAUCAGAAGGAAUAAAGGAUUGUCUUCUGUUCUAUUCAUAUUUUCUGCUUUAUUUUAAGCCUAAGAAAAUGGGGGGCUGGGAGGGAAAGAAACAUGAAAAUGGAGCGUUUGGGUGAAGAUAACACCGCCCAGCUUCUCGGCGCGUGCAGAAAGACGUUAUUUGCCUCUCUUGACAAGACAAAUUGCAAAAUUUGUGACCUGCUGUCUCGUCUGGCAGGACGGCUUGGCAAAUGCAGAAAUGUAAAAUAAGCAGCAAUUAUGGGAAGACAAUAAAAGUCAGUAGGCUUUUCUUUUUCCUUUCUCUUUUGGCAGCAGUUUAUGAGAGGUAACCUUAGCGUGGAAGCUAAGCGGGGGGCCUCCAGACUGUCACUGUUUUACAGGAGGGGUUCAAGCACAGACCAGAACUUUUUGAGCUGUGUACACACCAUGGAUUUAAGGCACAUUUAAAGCACAUGGCUUCUCCAAAGCAUCCUGGGAGCUGUAGUUUGUUAAGGGUGCUGAAAAUUGUAGCUCUCUGGUUUGUGAACUACAGUUCUCAGGAUUCUUUGGGGGAAGCUAUGUGCUUUAAAUGGGACGCGGGUGGCGCUGUGGGUUAAACCACAGAGCCUAGGACUUGCCGAUCAGAAGGUCGGCAGUUCGAAUCCCCGUGACGGGGUGAGCUCCCAUUGCUCGGUCCCUGCUCCUGCCAACCUAGCAGUUCAAAAGCACGUCAAAGUGCAAGUAGAUAAAUAGGUACUGCUCCAGCGGGAAGGUAAACGGCGUUUCCGUGUGCUGCUCUGGUUCAUCAGAAGCGGCUUAGUCAUGCUGGCCACAUGACCCGGAAGCUGUACACCGGCUCCCUUAGCCAAUAAAGCGAGAUGAGUGCCGCAACCCCAGAGUUGGUCACGACUGGACCUAAUGGUCAGGGUCCCUUUACCUUUUUAUGUACUUUAAAUGUAUGGUGUGUACACAGGCUAGGUUUGCUCAGUUUAUUAUUAUUUCUUAGUACAUUUAUAUCCAUCCUUUUAUCUAAGGAGCACAAAGUGAUUUUUAUACACACUUCUCCUUUCUCUUUUAUCCUCAUGACAACCCUGUAAGGUAGGUUAGGCUGAGUAGUAGCCAGAGUGGGUUUCAUGGCUGAGUGCAGAUUUGAACCCUUGUCUCCCAGGUCCUAGUCCUGCAUUCUAACCACUUCAGUGUAGAAAACAUUCCCUAUUUGGAAAGUUUGAAAAACACUGAUCUAGACCAAGAAAACAACAACCCUUAACAACUCUCCAGUCUGUUUUUAAUGUUUUCUAACAGCUCCCUCAAAGCCUUGUCUAUAUAAAUGUUGAAUUAUAUGGUUCUUUGACUCUUUACUAGAAAUUGCUCAGUAUGACCUUCUUUAUAUAAUCUUUUUCAUUUCCGUCCCCCCAAUAUUCUGCCGUAUCUCACAGAGGAAUAUCUAUAACUGUCAAGAAGCACAACUCC
RNAcentral lists this long non-coding RNA (18414 nucleotides) under Podarcis lilfordi (Lilford's wall lizard). Lineage: Eukaryota; Metazoa; Chordata; Lepidosauria; Squamata; Lacertidae. The record is from RNAcentral.